AAAAAAAGAGCAUCAUUGGACAAAUGGUACCUCCUUUUUUAUAAAGUUGAAACUGAAACUUUGAAGCUUAGAAAUAUGAAGGUAGCACCUGGGAUUUGAGCCCAGGUCUGUUGAGCUCCCAGAACCCCACCACUUUUUCAUAUCCCCAAGCUGGCCCAUGGGGUCCCCAAAACAGUGAGGAGAGGACUACAGCAGUAACUGUCCAUAUUUUCAACCAUACAGAAUUUAGUCCAUUCCUUAACCACUUCCCCGUUUCAGAGAUGCUUUUUAUUGAAUGGUAAAAAUGUAUGUACCUGACUGUGAGAACCACUUAAGAUGGGGUAAUGAGUCAUCCAGUGCACUGUGUUUUGUUGUGUCCCGAAUGCCACAUCUAGAUAAGAUGCUUCUGGAAAACCGGGUCCACAGCAUGGUCACCUUUUGGUCUCCCGCUGUACCUGGGUAAUAUGAGACACAGUGGCAUUUAAUUCUGUUGACAUGCACAUUCCGUUCUCCUGAGUGCUAAUUCAUAUCCUCAUAUUCCUUGAAAAGUUACCUCCUCCAAGAUCCCUUAUUGCAGUUGACUUCCCCUUGGUGCUCCCGAUUUAUUACACAUCGGUGAAUUAUAUUGAUUUUAUUUGCAGUUGAUUUCUUGCUUUGCUCUUUGUGACCUUCAGCUAUUUUUCUCUGCAUGUGUCUCCAGCUAUCUUAAAAGGCAGGAACUAGUGACUUCUUUUUUUUCCUUCUCCUCCACUCAGCCCCUAGAAUAGAGCUCUGUAAACAGUGCACAGGUGACCAAUAAAUACUUUUGACUCCUUGAGCUUGAUAGCUUCUUUCCCUUGCUGGACUGACAGCCUAACACUGGAGCCUGAAUCCUUUAUUUAUUAGAUGAGAUUUCUAUAGCACCUUUACUCUGAGAAGAUCAGUAUCAAUGAAGUUUGUUUCUGCUUCUGGAAAGUGCUUUUUACCUAAGCAGACCAAAGUCCUGAUAAGACCACAUGACAGCCCUUACUCCUCAGCUGCUGGGGCCUGGAGACGCAGACUAAGAAAAGCCUCACCACUUCACAUUUUGCUGUCUUGUUGCCAGCCACGAGCCUGAAUAAGAUUCUGUGCCAGCAUAAACUCUAAUGUUGGUGGAUACUGUAGUCAGUGUUACAAAAAGAGCAUUUGCAUUUGGAGAGCAUUGCCAUCUUUUGGAAGGGAGACAUGGAGAAGACUGCCUUAGAGGUCAGUAUAUCUGCCAAUAACCAGAUCCCUGUGAAUGGAGCUUUCAUGGGUUGUUGGCUUUCACCUAGUGCCUGAUGUCAGGGGGCACUAGAACUGUUCAGUCUCUCGAAGUCGUGUUGCUUAGUGAGCUAAGGUUACUGGGACAGGACCCAUGAGGGGCGUGACAGGUGAUACAUUCCCAGAGACUCAAAAGGAACAAGCCCUGGAUAAGUUGGGAAUAAGCGCUGAGAGGUGACACUCUUAACUGUUGGGAAAAGGGGCUAGCACACUUCAGAUCUGGAUAGUUGAGACUGACCAUGAAAUACUACAGCAAAGUUCAGAGGCAAAAAAACUGAAAAAGGUGGAUGUGUUAGCCCUAUAGUUCAUUGGAGAAGUGCCUAAAAUAAUUGGAUUAACUGGCUUCUCUAAGAAAUUUCUCACCUUUCUACAUCUCCGUGUUUUGUGCAGGCAUCCCCAUCCAUAAUUCAGGGUUAGACAGAGCUCAGUUAAGAAAUGAACACGUGAGGCCGGCCGUGGUGGCUCACGCCUGUAAUCCCAGCACUUUGGGAGGCCAAGGCGGGUGGAUCACCUGAGGUCAGGAGUUCGAGACAAACCUGACCAAUAUGGUGAAACCCUGUCUCUACUAAAAAUACAAAAAUUAGCCAGGUGUGGUGGCGUGCGCCUGUAAUCCCAGCUACUCAGGAGGCUGAGGCAGGAGAAUCGCUGGAAUCUGGGAGUUGGAGGUUGCAGUGAGCCGAGAUCGCGCCACUGCAUUCCAGCCUGGGCAACAGAGCAAGACUCCAUCUCAAUUAAAAAAAAAACAAACAAAAAAAACACGUUUCCGGUGAGCUGUGUAGACAGAUGAGAGGUACACACGUAAGAGCUGCUUGGUGUGGACACUUACUAGCAUCACCAAGUUUGGCCUGCCCUUGAGCCUGCAGUCCAGAAGGCUCCCUUCUCUGUGGAGCAGGUAUUAAGGCAGUCAUAGCUGUGGAUUUCCUUUUCCUUUUCCUUUUUUGAGAAACAAAAAUGGUCACAAGUAAAAAGAAAUCCAUGUGUUGGAGAGAAAAGAGACACAGUAGAGAAGGACUAGAAAUGUCUGGAAAUGGAGGCGGGGCAAAAAUGGAGGUGUGAUGGUGGGUGUGGGAAGUCCACUGGCAUUGACCUGAGAGAGGUGUUUGGACACAGCUGCCAGUGCCUGAGGAUGCCACCGCUUAUUUCCUCCUGAGAUGUGAAGGAUGUUCCCUUUCUCUGUUGUUGCCUGUGGAAAUGAGAGGCAGAGCCACCUGUACUGUCUAGUGUAUUGCUAUACCCCAGUACAGUGCCUGUGACACAGUCCAAGGAAGAUUACAGGGAAUGUCCCAUGUAGCUUUGGAUACUUCCUUGUUCGUGAUCACAGGCCACACCAACUGGUGCACAUGCUAAAAUGUACAGUGCCUGGGUGGGUGACCGGAAGACAGAUGACUCUGGCCCGUGGGGAGUACUGCCUGACUGCUGUCUUCCAUAGAAGACAGAUCUUUGCAUGAUCCAAGGCAGGCCUGCUUCAUUUACUCUGAUGGCUCCUCCAGAAAAGUACUUUGGGACGGCAAGGGAGCUAGGGAUGAGUGUGUUCCAUGCCGAUACUAGAUUUCUUUGUUAGUAUUAAAUACUUGCUUUUGCUCUAGGCCACAGGGUGGGAGGUGGCAGGCAGUGGCUACCACAGGUGAAGAUGGGUCCUGUGGGUCCAGGAGACAGGCUGGCAGCCACCUGUCUGUGCCUUGAGGACUGUAAGGGUCAUCAGGACACGUGCUGUGCACAGCAGGCCACUGUUCUCCACACACCCAGUGCUGUUCUUUCUUGGACCAUGGCAGCUGUGAGUCAGCGCACCGUGUAGUUUGUGCAUCCUUGUGAUGAAUGCACAGGAUGACAUUUGUUUCCCUGAGCUCUGCACCAUAUGUUCUAGAUUCACCCAGGAAGUGGGGGUUCCAGAUUUACAAACUAAAGGGCUAGGUUUAUGUUAAUACUCUUGCAUCAAUUAAAUUGCUCUUCCCUCAAAUCCAGGAUUAAUUUUCCAUGGAAUCUGGAGUAACUGACCAAAAUACCAGGGUGGAAUAGGAAAUGGAUGUCAGUGGGAAUUGUGUGGUUACAUUCAAUUCUGUGUUGUCUGUACUCCGCUUGUUUGUAAUUAUGAGCAACAGCAAAGCUUCAGUUCCAGGAGAGUAUCCAGUGCUAUCUUGGACAUUUCUGGGUUACCUCUAAGAGUGAGCUCAGCAAGUGUAGGCUCCUAUGAAUAACGGCAAUAGAAAGGCACUGUUAGGAAAGUAAACGUGCUACUGCAAAAAACAGGAUACACCACAAGCCAGACAGCAGUAGUUUUUCAGUUGUGCCCAGUGCACUUGUGUUCACCCAGGUAACUGGAUGAACUGUGUGGUGAUGGUGUUCUCCUGUGAGGGGGAGGGGCACAGUUACUAGCAUUAAAUAUUGCUAGAAGUAAUAUUUUUCUGUUUUUCUAUCUUGUUGCUAGAAGCAAUAUGUUUCUAUUUUUAAUGAGUCAAAUGCUGACUCUAUUUAUUUAUUCAUUCUGUUCAUCUUUAUUGAGUUGUAGAGGAAGAGCAAGGGGUAAAACUGACAAAAGUCCCUGACCUCUUGGUGCUUUUAUUCUUUAGGGGAGAGAUGCAGUAAGCAAGGGAACAGAUAAACAAGAAGUUCCCUCCAACUGCUGGGAGGGGGACGGCUUGGAGGGCAGCAAAGGCAGAAGCAGGCAACACGCCUGAGCUCUAGCAGCCUGGUGGAGCCAUCGGCCUCACCGCAUUCCAGCCCUGCUGGCUGCCUUUCUCUUCCAUCAGUAUGCUGAGCUUAUUCCUGCCACAGGACAUUUGCAUGAGAAGAGGUGCAGAGCCGAUUCAGGACAUCAUUUAGAUCUAACUAGACCUCUAAUAAAGUCAGUGUGAGGAGUAAGGAAAAGAGAGGAAUCAAGAAUUGAGCCCACAGUUUGACUUGAACAGCAGCUGGGUGGAUAUAUUGCCACUCACACUGAGGCAGAGAAGAUGAGGAGAUAAACUAACAGAGGUCAAGAAGAUGAAGAGUUGUUUCAAACAUGGUACAGUUGAGAUUCCUAGCAUUAUUCUAGUCAGACGUGUUUGUCAAGUAGGCCAUUGGAUAUCGGGAUUUGGAUUUGAGGGGAAUUCAUAGAUGGAAAUAUAAGUUCAAGAGGCAUCAGCAUGGAUACCCUAUUUGGAUCUGGAUGAAAUUACCUAAAGGAGAAAAUGCAGGAGGACGUGAUGCUGGGUGAUUUUAGAGGAGAAACCAUGAAGGAUUCCAAGGAGCAGCAGUUGGUCAGGUGGGAAGAAAGGAGUGUGACAUCACAGAAGAUGAAAAAUAAAAGUAUUUUAAGAAACAGAAAAGUGGACAAAUGCUGUAGAGGUUGAGGUGAGGAUAUUGGAUUUCGCCCCUUGAAUACCUGAUUGGCCUUUGCUUGCUCCCUAGGGUUCAGAGAACACAGUCUUUCUAUACCUAACCUAUCAUUCAUUUACCUGACCAAAAUAUUUUGAGUGAACCAAGCAGUAUUUUAGGGAUAGAGGAUAUGUGAUAAAUUACAGAAGCAUGGUGCUUGAUUUUAUGAAAUCUAGCCAAGGAGACAAAUUAAAUGAACAAAUUCCACAAAUGACGCUAAAUUAAAAUUGUGACUAGUGAUUGAAGGAAAAGUUCAAGAUGCCUUGAAAGCAUCCAACUGGGCCCUAACCUAGUCUGAGGGUCCAGGAAGAUCUUCCUGAGGAAGUCAUUGAAGCUAAGGCCUGAGUAAGCAAGAAUUUCCUUUGGAAGUCAGUGUGUCUGGGACAUAGAAUGCAAGGGAGUAAAUGGCACAAGGGGAAGCGGCAGCCAGGGUUGAGAUCGUGCUUCAGUGGGGAAAUUUUUAUUGUAAUCAGUGGAGCACGGUAAUCACAGACAGGGCUGGAUCUCAUCAUCUCAUCAUGUUGGCUGCCCUGAGGAAGGUGGCUUUGAUGUGGGGCGACCACCUAAAGGAAGCUGUUGCAGUAGCCUCGGAAAAAAGUUACUGGUCUCUUUGACUAGGUGGUGGCUUAUGACGCUGGCUGCUCUGAGGAAGGUGGAUUUGAUAUGGGGCGACCACCUAAAGGAGGCUAUUGCAGUAGCCCUGGAAAAAAAGAUUCUGGCGGCUUUGACUAGGUGGUGGCAGUAGAGAUGG
RNAcentral lists this long non-coding RNA (5365 nucleotides) under Homo sapiens (human). Its description in RNAcentral is "HSALNT0334098". Lineage: Eukaryota; Metazoa; Chordata; Mammalia; Primates; Hominidae. The record is from RNAcentral.